AACGAACGCUGGCGGCAUGCCUAACACAUGCAAGUCGAACGAGACCUUCGGGUCUAGUGGCGCACGGGUGCGUAACGCGUGGGAACCUGCCCGUAGGCUCGGAAUAACUCCCCGAAAGGGGUGCUAAUACCGGAUAAUGUCUUCGGACCAAAGAUUUAUCGCCGUUGGGGGGGCCGGCGUUGGAUUAGCUAGUUGGUAGGGUAAGAGCCUACCAAGGCGACGAUCCAUAGCUGGUCUGAGAGGAUGAUCCGCCACACUGGGACUGAGACACGGCCCAGAAUCCUGCGGGAGGCGGCAGUGGGGAAUAUUGGAAAAUGGGCGAAAGCCUGAUCCAGCAAUGCCGCGUGAGUGAUGAAGGCCUUAGGGUUGUAAAGCUCUUUUACCCGGGAUGAUAAUGACAGUACCGGGAGAAUAAGCUCCGGCUAACUCCGUG
This 433-nucleotide ribosomal RNA is filed under the name uncultured bacterium. RNAcentral describes it as "partial 16S ribosomal RNA". It matches the Rfam family "Bacterial small subunit ribosomal RNA", at positions 29 to 507 of the family's 1533-position model. The record is from RNAcentral.